ACAGUUUUAGCAGACCGAUUUUACGGUCCGCUCGCGUCCCGCUCAUCCGCUUGGCCUUAGCGGAGCGACAACGCGCUAUUCGUGUUUUAGCUAACCGUGUCUCCGGCGCGGUCGAGCGGAGGCCUAUCUCUUGGCUUGCAGCGCCAUCUGGCAAUUUCGCCCAAUACUGCGUUAAAAAAGAAACGCAAUAAUUUUGUUUCUUUUUACUACAGUAAUGCGAAGGCUUUAUUGAAAUAGCGUUAAUUAAUUUAUUUUUGUGUUUUUGUUGCGGAAACUUGACGCGUGACCAUUUUUUUCAUAAACGCGCCCCUUGGCUUGGCUGCAAGCUACAAUUAUCCAAUCCAGAGUGCCUGGUGCCCUGUGAUUUUCUGCAGCUGCCGUCCUGUGAUCCUCUUCGAAUUUUUUUGCAAACGUGCUACGUACGUCAUCCGAACAAGAAUGCAGAGUGUGUUGCAAGACCCCUUUCUUCUCUCACAACUGCGGUGGAGAGACAUCGAGGACCUGCUUGUAACAGAAGUGUUUUCGGUGAAGCGGCGUGAACCCCUUUCGGCUAGUGGGCUUCUGAACAUCGAUCUUAUGAAUGCUGGCGUGUUUCGCACAUACUUUCGAUUCGAAAAAAACGAUAUAGGCAGGUUGAAGACCGCUUUGCUGAUACCGGACACCAUUUACACUGCUCAGAGGAUAACUGUGUCGGGAGAAGAGGCACUUUGCAUAACUUUGCGCAGGCUUGCGUACCCGAACAGGUUGAGUGAUCUGGAGAGCCUUUUUGGGAGGCACUACUCUGUGAUUUCAGUGGUGACUAACCAUGUGCUUGGGCACAUAGAAAACAACUUUGGGCACCUUCUCCGCGACGUCAACAACCACAAGUGGCUGGAUCUCGCUGCCUUGCAAGAAUUCUCACACGCCAUUCAUUCAAAGGGAGCGCCCCUCACCAACUGCUGGGGAUUCAUUGAUGGCACGGCACGCCCUAUAUGCCGGCCUUCACAAAACCAGAAAAUAUUUUUUUCUGGGCCAAGCGCACCCAUGCCGUCAAGUACCAAUCUAUAAUGUGCCCUAAUGGAAUCAUUGCCCAGCUGAGGGCACCGUACUAUGGCAGUCGACACGAUUCAGGCAUACUGCGAAGAAGCAACACCUACCCGCAGCUGGAGAGGCUUGUGAAGAGGCACCAUUAUUGCCUCUACGGUGAUCCAGCAUAUCCCUUGAGGCCCCUUUUUCUGAAGCCGUACGGUGGCACUUGUCUCACUGAUGCGCAGCAAGCUUUUAACAAAUCCAUGAGUUCGGUGAGACAGGCCGUCGAGUGGGGCUUUGGAAAAAUUGUCGGGCUGUUUGCAUUUGUUGAUUUAAAAAAAAACCAGAAAGUAUUUGUCCAAAAUGUACCUCGCAUGUACAAAGUGACCGGCAUACUUUCAAACCGCCACACCUGUGUAUAUGGUUCACAGGUUUCUGAAUACUUUGGUGUAGCGCCUCCGUGUCUGGGGGACUAUCUCACAUGCAAAGAAUAAUAAAGUGUCUGUGUGUCACACAACAUGUGUGAACUCAAAAAAUAUUGCACUUGAUUCGUUCAUACAAAUCUGCACAGUACAACCA
This is a long non-coding RNA of Dermacentor silvarum, 1587 nucleotides long. RefSeq lists it as uncharacterized. The record is from RefSeq and is a predicted model, not a curated record. The transcript is spliced from 3 exons. Lineage: Eukaryota; Metazoa; Arthropoda; Arachnida; Ixodida; Ixodidae.